This 497-nucleotide ribosomal RNA is filed under the name uncultured bacterium. Its description in RNAcentral is "partial 16S ribosomal RNA". It matches the Rfam family "Bacterial small subunit ribosomal RNA", at positions 28 to 507 of the family's 1533-position model. The record is from RNAcentral.
GAUGAACGCUGGCGGCGUGCCUAAUACAUGCAAGUCGAGCGAACAGACGAGGAGCUUGCUCCUCUGACGUUAGCGGCGGACGGGUGAGUAACACGUGGAUAACCUACCUAUAAGACUGGGAUAAUUUCGGGAAACCGGAGCUAAUACCGGAUAAUAUAUUGAACCGCAUGGUUCAUUAGUGAAAGACGGUUUUGCUGUCACUUAUAGAUGGAUCCGCGCCGCAUUAGCUAGUUGGUAAGGUAACGGCUUACCAAGGCAACGAUGCGUAGCCGACCUGAGAGGGUGAUCGGCCACACUGGAACUGAGACACGGUCCAGACUCCUACGGGAGGCAGCAGUAGGGAAUCUUCCGCAAUGGGCGAAAGCCUGACGGAGCAACGCCGCGUGAGUGAUGAAGGUCUUCGGAUCGUAAAACUCUGUUAUUAGGGAAGAACAAAUGUGUAAGUAACUAUGCACGUCUUGACGGUACCUAAUCAGAAAGCCACGGCUAACUACGUG